This 1437-nucleotide ribosomal RNA is filed under the name uncultured organism. RNAcentral's name for it is "SSU rRNA". It matches the Rfam family "Bacterial small subunit ribosomal RNA". The record is from RNAcentral.
UAACACAUGCAAGUCGAGGGGCAGCAUGGUCUUAGCUUGCUAAGGCCGAUGGCGACCGGCGCACGGGUGAGUAACGCGUAUCCAACCUGCCUUACACUCUUGGACAGCCUUCUGAAAGGGAGAUUAAUACAAGAUGUUAUCAUGAGUAAGCAUUUUCGCAUGAUUAAAGGUUUACCGGUGUAAGAUGGGGAUGCGUUCCAUUAGAUAGGAGGCGGGGUAACGGCCCACCUAAUCUUCGAUGGAUAGGGGUUCUGAAAGGAAGGUCCCCCACAUUGGAACUGAGACACGGUCCAAACUCCUACGGGAGGCAGCAGUGAGGAAUAUUGGUCAAUGGACGAGAGUCUGAACCAGCCAAGUAGCGUGAAGGAUGAAGGUUCUAUGGAUUGUAAACUUCUUUUAUACAGGAAUAAACGAAUCCACGCGUGGAUUUUUGCAUGUACCGUAUGAAUAAGGAUCGGCUAACUCCGUGCCAGCAGCCGCGGUAAUACGGAGGAUCCGAGCGUUAUCCGGAUUUAUUGGGUUUAAAGGGAGCGUAGAUGGCUUGUUAAGUCAGUUGUGAAAGUUUGCGGCUCAACCGAAAAAUUGCAAUUGAUACUGGCAGUCCUGAGUACAGUUGAGGUAGGCGGAAUUCGUGGUGUAGCGGUGAAAUGCUUAGAUAUCACGAAGAACUCCGAUUGCGAAGGCAGCUUACUAACCUGUAACUGACAUUGAUGCUCGAAAGUGUGGGUAUCAAACAGGAUUAGAUACCCUGGUAGUCCACACGGUAAACGAUGAAUACUCGCUGUAGGCGAUAUACAGUCUGCGGCCAAGCGAAAGCAUUAAGUAUUCCACCUGGGGAGUACGCCGGCAACGGUGAAACUCAAAGGAAUUGACGGGGGCCCGCACAAGCGGAGGGACAUGUGGUUUAAUUCGAUGAUACGCGAGGAACCUUACCCGGGCUUAAAUUGCAACCGAAUAUGGCGGAAACGCUAUAGCUAGCAAUAGCGGUUGUGAAGGUGCUGCAUGGUUGUCGUCAGCUCGUGCCGUGAGGUGUCGGCUUAAGUGCCAUAACGAGCGCAACCCUUGCCGAUAGUUACUAACAGGUCAUGCUGAGGACUCUGUCGGGACUGCCAUCGUAAGAUGUGAGGAAGGUGGGGAUGACGUCAAAUCAGCACGGCCCUUACGUCCGGGGCUACACACGUGUUACAAUGGGGGGUACAGAGGGCUGCUACCACGCAAGUGGAUGCCAAUCCCAAAAACCUCUCUCAGUUCGGAUUGAAGUCUGCAACCCGACUUCAUGAAGCUGGAUUCGCUAGUAAUCGCGCAUCAGCCACGGCGCGGUGAAUACGUUCCCGGGCCUUGUACACACCGCCCGUCAAGCCAUGGGAGCCGGGGGUACCUGAAGUGCGUAACCGCAAGGAGCGCCCUAGGGUAAAACUGGUGACUGGGGCUAAGUCG